Molecule: long non-coding RNA, 251 nt
Filed under: Elaeis guineensis (African oil palm)
Lineage: Eukaryota; Viridiplantae; Streptophyta; Magnoliopsida; Arecales; Arecaceae
Description: long non-coding RNA (EGUI_LNC042848)
Source: RNAcentral
GAUUUGAAUUUCCAAGUAGGAGCUUGGGAAGGGAAUGUAGGUGCAAGGUUAGAACCGAACCACUAUAAAUCUUGUUUGUUUGUGUUGUGCUUACUUGCUCUCUUUCUAAAUUUUCUUAUCUAUUUGCAUUCUUGCAUCUAAUUUCUACAUCUUGCUUAAAUUACUCUCUACAUAUAUCCUGCUCAUUGUUAUUUAAUCCUCAUAGUUUUAAAUUAACAUUAAAUUUUUUAAAAACCCAAUUCACCUCUUCC